GGCGGAAUGUGACAUGUAGCGGUGAAAUGCUUAGAUAUGACACAGAACACCGAUUGCGAAGGCAGCUCACUAAGUUAUUAUUGACGCUGAGGGACGAAAGCGUGGGUAGCGAACAGGAUUAGAUACCCUGGUAGUCCACGCCGUAAACGAUGUAUACUCGUUGCUAGCGAUACACAGUUAGUGACCAAGCGAAAGUAUUAAGUAUACCACCUGGGGAGUACGAUCGCAAGAUUGAAACUCAAAGGAAUUGACGGGGGCCCGCACAAGCGGUGGAGCAUGUGGUUUAAUUCGAUGAUACGCGAGGAACCUUACCUGGGCUUAAAUGCAGAACG
RNAcentral lists this ribosomal RNA (332 nucleotides) under uncultured Bacteroidota bacterium. Its description in RNAcentral is "bacterial SSU rRNA". It matches the Rfam family "Bacterial small subunit ribosomal RNA", at positions 660 to 994 of the family's 1533-position model. The record is from RNAcentral. Lineage: Bacteria; Pseudomonadati; Bacteroidota.